RNAcentral lists this ribosomal RNA (318 nucleotides) under uncultured Pseudomonadota bacterium. RNAcentral describes it as "bacterial SSU rRNA". It matches the Rfam family "Bacterial small subunit ribosomal RNA", at positions 30 to 351 of the family's 1533-position model. Lineage: Bacteria; Pseudomonadati; Pseudomonadota. The record is from RNAcentral.
AUUGAACGCUGGCGGUAGGCCUAACACAUGCAAGUCGAACGCGAAAGUUCUUCGGAAUGAGUAGAGUGGCGGACGGGUGAGUAACGCGUAGGAAUCUGUCCUGUAGUGGGGGAUAACGUUCCGAAAGGAACGCUAAUACCGCAUACGCCCCACGGGGGAAAGCGGGGGAUCUUCGGACCUCGCGCUAUAGGAGGAGCCUGCGUCGGAUUAGCUAGUUGGUAGGGUAAAGGCCUACCAAGGCGACGAUGGUUAGCUGGUCUGAGAGGAUGAUCAGCCACACUGGAACUGACACACGGUCCAGACUCCUACGGGAGGCUG